UUGGUUAUUAUCCCUCCCGUACUA
RNAcentral lists this transfer RNA (24 nucleotides) under Eptesicus fuscus (big brown bat). RNAcentral's name for it is "partial tRNA-Met". Lineage: Eukaryota; Metazoa; Chordata; Mammalia; Chiroptera; Vespertilionidae. The record is from RNAcentral.